Molecule: ribosomal RNA, 465 nt
Filed under: uncultured bacterium
Lineage: Bacteria
Description: bacterial SSU rRNA
Rfam family: Bacterial small subunit ribosomal RNA
Source: RNAcentral
ACAGACUCCUACGGGAGGCAGCAGUGAGGAAUAUUGGUCAAUGGGCGGAAGCCUGAACCAGCCAAGUCGCGUGAGGGAAUAAGGCCCUACGGGUCGUAAACCUCUUUUGCCGGGGAGCAAGGGCGGGGACGUGUCCCGGCCCGGAGAGUACCCGGAGAAAAAGCAUCGGCUAACUCCGUGCCAGCAGCCGCGGUAAUACGGAGGAUGCGAGCGUUAUCCGGAUUUAUUGGGUUUAAAGGGUGCGCAGGCGGAAUGUCAAGUCAGCGGUAAAAUUUCGGGGCUCAACCCCGUCGUGCCGUUGAAACUGCAUCCCUUGAGUGCGCGAGAAGUAUGCGGAAUGCGUGGUGUAGCGGUGAAAUGCAUAGAUAUCACGCAGAACUCCGAUUGCGAAGGCAGCAUACCGGCGCGCAACUGACGCUGAAGCACGAAAGCGCGGGUAUCGAACAGGAUUAGAUACCCCCGUAC